GACGAACGCUGGCGGCGUGCUUAACACAUGCAAGUCGAACGGUGAAGCGCCUUCCUUUUUGGUGGGUGUGGAUGAGUGGCGAACGGGUGAGUAACACGUUAGUAACCUGCCCCCUUCUUCUGGAUAACCGCAUGAAAGUGUGGCUAAUACGGGAUAUUCUGGGUCUGUCGCAUGAUGGGUCUGGGACAGAUAUUGUUUCGGUGGGGGAUGGGCUCGCGGCCUAUCAGCUUGUUGGUGGGGUGAUGGCCUACCAAGGCGGUGACGGGUAGCCGGCCUGAGCGGGAGAGCGGCCACAUGGGGACUGAUACACGGCCCAGAAGUCUAGGGGAUUGAACAGUGGGGGAGAGCGUGAUGGGGGGGCGCGCCGGGAGCGGUGAAGCCGUUCGCGGUGUGAACGUCUUUGGCUAGUGAAGCAGGUCUGCCUGGUAUGUGGGGGGGUUGACGGUAGUUGGAAAAGAAGCGCCGGCUAACUACGUG
This 477-nucleotide ribosomal RNA is filed under the name uncultured bacterium. RNAcentral describes it as "partial 16S ribosomal RNA". It matches the Rfam family "Bacterial small subunit ribosomal RNA", at positions 28 to 507 of the family's 1533-position model. The record is from RNAcentral.